This 468-nucleotide ribosomal RNA is filed under the name uncultured bacterium. RNAcentral describes it as "partial 16S ribosomal RNA". It matches the Rfam family "Bacterial small subunit ribosomal RNA", at positions 28 to 507 of the family's 1533-position model. The record is from RNAcentral.
AACGAACGCCGGCGGCGUGCUUAACACAUGCAAGUCGAACGGAAAGGCCCUGCUUUUGUGGGGUGCUCGAGUGGCGAACGGGUGAGUAACACGUGAGUAACCUGCCCUUGACUUUGGGAUAACUUCAGGAAACUGGGGCUAAUACCGGAUAGGAGCUCCUGCUGCAUGGUGGGGGUUGGAAAGUUUCGGCGGUUGGGGAUGGACUCGCGGCUUAUCAGCUUGUUGGUGGGGUAGUGGCUUACCAAGGCUUUGACGGGUAGCCGGCCUGAGAGGGUGACCGGCCACAUUGGGACUGAGAUACGGCCCAGACUCCUACGGGAGGCAGCAGUGGGGAAUAUUGCACAAUGGGCGGAAGCCUGAUGCAGCAACGCCGCGUGCGGGAUGACGGCCUUCGGGUUGUAAACCGCUUUCGCCUGUGACGAAGCGUGAGUGACGGUAAUGGGUAAAGAAGCACCGGCUAACUACGUG